GGAAGAUAUAGCCUAGCGGCGAACGGGUGAGUAACACGUGGGUAACCUACCUGGAAGACAGGGAUAACGAUUCGAAAGGGUCGCUAAUACCUGAUAAUAUCUAACAGUCGGAUGGCAGUUAGAAGAAAGGGGAAACCCGCUUUCAGAUGGGCCCGCGUCCCAUCAGCUAGUUGGUAAGGUAAAGGCUUACCAAGGCGACGACGGGUAGCCGGUCUGAGAGGAUGUACGGCCACAUUGGGACUGAGAUACGGCCCAGACUCCUACGGGAGGCAGCAGUUGGGAAUCUUAGGCAGUGGGCGAAAGCCUGACCUAGCGACGCCGCGUGAGGGAAGAAGGCCUUCGGGUCGUAAACCUCUGU
This 358-nucleotide ribosomal RNA is filed under the name uncultured bacterium. Its description in RNAcentral is "bacterial SSU rRNA". It matches the Rfam family "Bacterial small subunit ribosomal RNA", at positions 80 to 436 of the family's 1533-position model. The record is from RNAcentral.